AAAUAAAAAAUUAAUUUUCUUAUUAAAUUCCUCAAAACAUUAAAUUAACAAUACUUUCAAUGCACCGCCAUAUCAAGCAAAAUACUUUCAACUUUGCAAACCGAAACCGUUGCCAAAAAUCAUUGCCUUCCGGCUCGAGUACAAGAACAAGCUAAAUUCCUUCCUUCAUUCCAACCAAGACGGAAGCGAUGGAAACGAUUUCAACACUCCAUCUUCCAGAGAUGACACAGAGGCAUAGGGUUAGGAUUUAUCAUAGCGAGCGAAACGCACCGAGCGAAAGAUGGAAGAAUACACUCCCAAUCCUUUUCCCCCCUGAGUACGGACAAACCGAUCGGCAAACGUAACGGACGGGCCAAUAAAGCAGGAAAAACAAAAACCUGGAGAACGAAAACGAUGCUCCAUUUCAGUUCGUUUGGGGGUUUGCUUGCUUGGUAGAUGUGCUUGCUACCAUCGUGUGUGUGUCAGUGUGCGCGUGUAUACAUAAGCUACAACGACACCGACAACUACCACGACGACGACGACGAUGAUGAUGAUGACGACGAUGACGACGGCGCGCGUCUUUGGGGACCGGCAGCAUCGAGAAGCUUUCCGCCGGCGAAAUCAGUUUCCAUCUGGACGGUAACGCGUUUGGUUGCGUUUCGGGGUUUUUCCGAUUCGAGUGUGUUUCCCGUCGUGCUGUGUGAAGCCGUACCGUGCCUUCAAAUGGGGUCUGGGAAUGGGUGUUAGGUGGUUCAAACAGGUAGAUACAGUGUGUUGUGCUGUGAAGUAAAAAUUUGUCAAAAGUGUGUGUGUUGCCAAAAUGUAUAAAAAUGUUCAAAUGUUCUUAUUGCUUGAGUUGGAAAUAGUAUUAAGGUAUGCAUUGCGAGUGAUUUAAAGAUGUGCAUGAAUUAUGAAAUUGUUCCCUCAAAGUGAGUGUGCAUUUAACAUAUAUUAAAGGUUACAUAAAUGUUUCAAAAUAGUUCCUACUGCGUCGUCGAAAAAGAAAAAAAAGUGAUUUCAAUCAAUUUUCGCCAUUGUGCGUUGUGGGCACUGUGCAUUAUUUAAUAGCCAUUUACCACGAAAAGUGAUCGUUCGCCCGUUUGUGUGCGUUAAACCCGCGGGGGCAAUGUGCAAGUGGUGCCAACAUUGUGACGCUUUAAAGCGCGCCGAGUGCCGACGGUUCGAUGUACAUCGAUCGUCAACCCGGGGCCUUGCUGACCCCGGUUCCGUGUAGGUUGUGAAGUGAAUUUUUAAUGAUUCGCCCGCGUUUUGAUUCGAGCACCCGCCGCCCCCCUAGCAAAAGUGUGAGUGAGAGAAAAUUUGCGGAAAAAUUGAAAACCUACCCUACUGCCCCGCCGAUUGCUGCACAUGGCGAACGAAAUAAUGCCAGCUACACCGACUGCGGCUGCGAUUGCAGCGGACGACGGUUCCGGUGGGUCACCGUUCGGCGAGGCAAAUGUGACCGGAAUUUCGGUGGAAAACCCUUCGCUGGUGGAGGGGCUGCUGGCGCUGGCAAUGAAUGCGAGCGGCGCGGAACGGUGCCGACUGCAGCAACAGGCGGAGGAGUUGCUGCAGGACGUGGCCUGUCCGUCGUUCUUCGACAUGGUGUCCUGCUGGCCGCGAACACCGCCCGGUACGUUGGCGGUGCUGCCGUGCUUUGCCGAGCUGAAGGGCGUGCAGUAUGAUAGCUCACAAAACGCGACCCGUUUCUGCAACGUCGACGGUACCUGGGACAACUACACCGACUACGAUCGCUGCGAGCAUCUCGAACAGCCGCCACCGCUGCCCAGCUUCGAGCCGGAAAUUGAGCUACCGACGCUGAUCUACUUCGUCGGCUACUCGAUCAGCCUGGCCGCGCUGGUGCUGGCCGUCGCCGUGCUGGUGUAUUUCAAUAACUACUCUGCCCGCAGGGAUCUGCGCUGCUUGCGGAACACGAUACACGUCAACCUGUUCCUCACCUACAUCAUGUCGUCGAGCCUGUGGAUACUGAUCCUUUCGCUGCAGAUUACCGUAAAGCUGGAAGUGGCGGGAUGCAUAUUUCUCGUAACGCUCUUUCACUACUUCAGCACAACCAACUUUUUCUGGAUGCUGGUGGAAGGGCUCUACCUUUACAUGCUGGUUGUGCAGACGUUUUCCGGUGACACGUUACGCUUUCGGAAGUACGCCAUCAUUGGGUGGGGAGGCCCACUGAUCUUCGUUGGAGCUUGGGCCAUCGCAAAGCCUUUCUUUGGCAGUGUCUCGAAUUUGGAACAUCCUAGUAAACUCGAAAUAGAAUGCUCCUGGAUGCGUGAAUCUCACAUCGAUUGGAUCAUCCAGGGCCCGUCCUGUGCCGUGCUGGUUAUCAAUCUCAUCUUCCUGCUGCGCAUCAUGUGGGUGCUGAUCACGAAGCUGCGCUCGGCGAACACGGUCGAAACGCGCCAGUACCGGAAAGCCUCGAAAGCGCUGCUCGUGCUGAUACCGCUGCUGGGCAUAACCUACCUCAUCGUCAUCUACGGCCCGGUCGAGGGUGUCGGCAGCCACAUAUUUGCCAUCACGCGGGCCAUUCUUCUUAGCACGCAGGGGUUCGUCGUGUCCCUCCUCUACUGCUUCCUAAACUCCGAGGUGCGCCAAACACUGCGCCAUCACUUCUAUCGCUGGCGGGACGAACGGAACAUCCUUUCCGGCAAGGUGAACAAUCAUCACCGCAGACCGACAUUCAGCAAGGACAACUCACCCCGCUCGCGGACCGAAAGCACACGUUUAACGACGACCACUUCGGCACCAUUAAUUUGAUCCCCUCCUCGUGUUCAAUUCCUGGUGGAGUAUCUGUUUUCUGUUUUAAUUAGUCCAUUUCUCAGAACAAAGGUAUGGUUUUCGUUUUCCUAUUUAUUCAAUUGUUUUCCCAGUUUUCCCGACCAGAGUCGAUGAAUUUUCCACCCGUCCCAUGAGCGUAAAGCCGUUACGGUAUUGAUGAAAUGUUUGCUGCACUGUUUGCACUAAUCGAAAAAAACAGCAACAGAGCAUGCUGUGAGCGACCUGCUGAGAUGGGAUGAGGAAUUGAAUGAACGAAAACGAUACGCGGUCACUACAGAUAGUAAAGAAAGAGAGAGUGAGAGAGAUAGAAAAAGAGAUAAAUAUAUAGAGAGAGAGAAAAGUAGAAAAGAAAGAGCUUGGCUAGAAAGAGAAGGGAAAGGUAAACUAAUUAAAUCAAGGGAAAUAAAUAAUACCGAUGAACAGAAAAAAAUACACACAGACUCAGUUUCGAUGUAAACAAUUUGCCAUUUCUCUAGAUGUAAACAAAGUGUGUAUGUGAGUGUGAGUUUGUGAGAAUGAGCAAAGGGAGAGAAAGAGCUUGUGGAAAGGUGGUUGGGAGUAAACCAGAUCAACCUUCAUCUACCGAGGUGAUAAAGUUUUUUUUUUGUUAUUUUCACUAGCAAGCGGUUAGCGUUUAUCGAUGUUGAAAGGUGAAAAACAGCUUUGCUCGAAUCCGAGAAUCAGCCAAACGGACGUGAAGUAUGCAUUUAAAACAGAGAUUAAACUAUGUAAGAAAGAGAGGCACGUACAUAUAUUAAACUAUUUAGUACGACUAGGUAUAAAAUUGCAAGAGCAGAGCAGAACAAUGCCAACAACAACUCUAUGUGUCAAACAGCUCUGUGUGUAUGUGUGUGUGUCAGGAAAUGUACUGGUAACAAACAAACAAACAGGCGUUAUAUUGUAAGAGAUGUCUCUAUCUGAAACUGGUUAUUCUCGAGGUCAUGCCAUGAACAGUUUUUGAAUGUAUUUUUGCUGUAAAUAGAAUACCAAAUAUAUGAAAUCUCGAUGUACUAAAAUAAGGCUUUUGUUUAAU
RNA transcript from Anopheles coluzzii, 3805 nucleotides. It is a transcript of the gene named diuretic hormone receptor-like, with no coding region annotated. The record is from RefSeq and is a predicted model, not a curated record. NCBI's taxonomy places the organism in Eukaryota, Metazoa, Arthropoda, Insecta, Diptera, Culicidae. The transcript is spliced from 12 exons.